RNAcentral lists this ribosomal RNA (1502 nucleotides) under uncultured Streptococcus sp. RNAcentral's name for it is "bacterial SSU rRNA". It matches the Rfam family "Bacterial small subunit ribosomal RNA". The record is from RNAcentral. Lineage: Bacteria; Bacillati; Bacillota; Bacilli; Lactobacillales; Streptococcaceae.
GUUUGAUCCUGGCUCAGGACGAACGCUGGCGGCGUGCCUAAUACAUGCAAGUAGAACGCUGAAGAGAGGAGCUUGCUCUUCUUGGAUGAGUUGCGAACGGGUGAGUAACGCGUAGGUAACCUGCCUUGUAGCGGGGGAUAACUAUUGGAAACGAUAGCUAAUACCGCAUAACAAUGGAUGACACAUGUCAUUUAUUUGAAAGGGGCAAUUGCUCCACUACAAGAUGGACCUGCGUUGUAUUAGCUAGUAGGUGAGGUAAUGGCUCACCUAGGCGACGAUACAUAGCCGACCUGAGAGGGUGAUCGGCCACACUGGGACUGAGACACGGCCCAGACUCCUACGGGAGGCAGCAGUAGGGAAUCUUCGGCAAUGGGGGCAACCCUGACCGAGCAACGCCGCGUGAGUGAAGAAGGUUUUCGGAUCGUAAAGCUCUGUUGUAAGUCAAGAACGGGUGUGAGAGUGGAAAGUUCACACUGUGACGGUAGCUUACCAGAAAGGGACGGCUAACUACGUGCCAGCAGCCGCGGUAAUACGUAGGUCCCGAGCGUUGUCCGGAUUUAUUGGGCGUAAAGCGAACGCAGGCGGUUUGAUAAGUCUGAAGUUAAAGGCUGUGGCUCAACCAUAGUUCGCUUUGGAAACUGUCAAACUUGAGUGCAGAAGGGGAGAGUGGAAUUCCAUGUGUAGCGGUGAAAUGCGUAGAUAUAUGGAGGAACACCGGUGGCGAAAGCGGCUCUCUGGUCUGUAACUGACGCUGAGGCUCGAAAGCGUGGGGAGCGAACAGGAUUAGAUACCCUGGUAGUCCACGCCGUAAACGAUGAGUGCUAGGUGUUGGAUCCUUUCCGGGAUUCAGUGCCGCACUAACGCAUUAAGCACUCCGCCUGGGGAGUACGACCGCAAGGUUGAAACUCAAAGGAAUUGACGGGGGCCCGCACAAGCGGUGGAGCAUGUGGUUUAAUUCGAAGCAACGCGAAGAACCUUACCAGGUCUUGACAUCCCGAUGCUAUUUCUAGAGAUAGAAAGUUACUUCGGUACAUCGGUGACAGGUGGUGCAUGGUUGUCGUCAGCUCGUGUCGUGAGAUGUUGGGUUAAGUCCCGCAACGAGCGCAACCCCUAUUGUUAGUUGCCAUCAUUCAGUUGGGCACUCUAGCGAGACAGCCGGUAAUAAACCGGAGGAAGGUGGGGAUGACGUCAAAUCAUCAUGCCCCUUAUGACCUGGGCUACACACGUGCUACAAUGGUUGGUACAACGAGUUGCGAGUCGGUGACGGCGAGCUAAUCUCUUAAAGCCAAUCUCAGUUCGGAUUGUAGGCUGCAACUCGCCUACAUGAAGUCGGAAUCGCUAGUAAUCGCGGAUCAGCACGCCGCGGUGAAUACGUUCCCGGGCCUUGUACACACCGCCCGUCACACCACGAGAGUUUGUAACACCCGAAGUCGGUGAGGUAACCUUUUGGAGCCAGCCGCCUAAGGUGGGACAGAUGAUUGGGGUGAAGUCGUAACAAGGUA